This 797-nucleotide ribosomal RNA is filed under the name uncultured bacterium. RNAcentral's name for it is "bacterial SSU rRNA". It matches the Rfam family "Bacterial small subunit ribosomal RNA", at positions 8 to 796 of the family's 1533-position model. The record is from RNAcentral.
AGAGUUUGAUCAUGGCUCAGGAUGAACGCUAGCGGCAGGCUUAAUACAUGCAAGUCGUGGGGCAGCAGGGCUGUAGCAAUACAGUCGCUGGCGACCGGCAAACGGGUGCGGAACACGUACACAACCUUCCUUCUAGUGGGGAAUAGCCCGGGGAAACCCGGAUUAAUACCCCGUAACAUAAUGGAGUGGCAUCACUUUAUUAUUAAAGCUCCGGCGCUGGAAGAUGGGUGUGCGGCUGAUUAGGUAGUUGGCGGGGUAAUGGCCCACCAAGCCUACGAUCAGUAACUGGUGUGAGAGCACGACCAGUCACACGGGCACUGAGACACGGGCCCGACUCCUACGGGAGGCAGCAGUAAGGAAUAUUGGUCAAUGGACGCAAGUCUGAACCAGCCAUGCCGCGUGGAGGAUGAAGGUCCUCUGGAUUGUAAACUUCUUUUAUCUGGGAAGAAACCCAUGGAUUCUUCUGUGGUUGACGGUACCAGAUGAAUAAGCACCGGCUAACUCCGUGCCAGCAGCCGCGGUAAUACGGAGGGUGCAAGCGUUAUCCGGAUUCACUGGGUUUAAAGGGUGCGUAGGCGGACAGGUAAGUCAGUGGUGAAAUCUUUGGGCUUAACCCAGAAACUGCCGUUGAUACUAUUUGUCUUGAAUAUCCUGGAGGUAGGCGGAAUAUGUCAUGUAGCGGUGAAAUGCUUAGAUAUGACAUAGAACACCGAUAGCGAAGGCAGCUUACUACAGGAUGAUUGACGCUGAGGCACGAAAGCGUGGGGAGCAAACAGGAUUAGAUACCCUAGUAGUCC